Molecule: ribosomal RNA, 2899 nt
Filed under: Shigella sonnei 3233-85
Lineage: Bacteria; Pseudomonadati; Pseudomonadota; Gammaproteobacteria; Enterobacterales; Enterobacteriaceae
Description: bacterial LSU rRNA
Rfam family: Bacterial large subunit ribosomal RNA
Source: RNAcentral
UUAAGCGACUAAGCGUACACGGUGGAUGCCCUGGCAGUCAGAGGCGAUGAAGGACGUGCUAAUCUGCGAUAAGCGUCGGUAAGGUGAUAUGAACCGUUAUAACCGGCGAUUUCCGAAUGGGGAAACCCAGUGUGUUUCGACACACUAUCAUUAACUGAAUCCAUAGGUUAAUGAGGCGAACCGGGGGAACUGAAACAUCUAAGUACCCCGAGGAAAAGAAAUCAACCGAGAUUCCCCCAGUAGCGGCGAGCGAACGGGGAGGAGCCCAGAGCCUGAAUCAGUGUGUGUGUUAGUGGAAGCGUCUGGAAAGGCGCGCGAUACAGGGUGACAGCCCCGUACACAAAAAUACACAUAUUGUGAGCUCGAUGAGUAGGGCGGGACACGUGGUAUCCUGUCUGAAUAUGGGGGGACCAUCCUCCAAGGCUAAAUACUCCUGACUGACCGAUAGUGAACCAGUACCGUGAGGGAAAGGCGAAAAGAACCCCGGCGAGGGGAGUGAUAAAGAACCUGAAACCGUGUACGUACAAGCAGUGGGAGCACGCUUAGGCGUGUGACUGCGUACCUUUUGUAUAAUGGGUCAGCGACUUAUAUUCUGUAGCAAGGUUAACCGAAUAGGGGAGCCGAAGGGAAACCGAGUCUUAACUGGGCGUUAAGUUGCAGGGUAUAGACCCGAAACCCGGUGAUCUAGCCAUGGGCAGGUUGAAGGUUGGGUAACACUAACUGGAGGACCGAACCGACUAAUGUUGAAAAAUUAGCGGAUGACUUGUGGCUGGGGGUGAAAGGCCAAUCAAACCGGGAGAUAGCUGGUUCUCCCCGAAAGCUAUUUAGGUAGCGCCUCGUGAAUUCAUCUCCGGGGGUAGAGCACUGUUUCGGCAAGGGGGUCAUCCCGACUUACCAACCCGAUGCAAACUGCGAAUACCGGAGAAUGUUAUCACGGGAGACACACGGCGGGUGCUAACGUCCGUCGUGAAGAGGGAAACAACCCAGACCGCCAGCUAAGGUCCCAAAGUCAUGGUUAAGUGGGAAACGAUGUGGGAAGGCCCAGACAGCCAGGAUGUUGGCUUAGAAGCAGCCAUCAUUUAAAGAAAGCGUAAUAGCUCACUGGUCGAGUCGGCCUGACGCGGAAGAUGUAACGGGGCUAAACCAUGCACCGAAGCUGCGGCAGCGACGCUUAUGCGUUGUUGGGUAGGGGAGCGUUCUGUAAGCCUGCGAAGGUGUGCUGUGAGGCAUGCUGGAGGUAUCAGAAGUGCGAAUGCUGACAUAAGUAACGAUAAAGCGGGUGAAAAGCCGCUCGCCGGAAGACCAAGGGUUCCUGUCCAACGUUAAUCGGGGCAGGGUGAGUCGACCCCUAAGACGAGGCCGAAAGGCGUAGUCGAUGGGAAACAGGUUAAUAUUCCUGUACUUGGUGUUACUGCGAAGGGGGGACGGAGAAGGCUAUGUUGGCCGGGCGACGGUUGUCCCGGUUUAAGCGUGUAGGCUGGUUUUCCAGGCAAAUCCGGAAAAUCAAGGCUGAGGCGUGAUGACGAGGCACUACGGUGCUGAAGCAACAAAUGCCCUGCUUCCAGGAAAAGCCUCUAAGCAUCAGGUAACAUCAAAUCGUACCCCAAACCGACACAGGUGGUCAGGUAGAGAAUACCAAGGCGCUUGAGAGAACUCGGGUGAAGGAACUAGGCAAAAUGGUGCCGUAACUUCGGGAGAAGGCACGCUGAUAUGUAGGUGAAGUCCCUUGCGGAUGGAGCUGAAAUCAGUCGAAGAUACCAGCUGGCUGCAACUGUUUAUUAAAACACAGCACUGUGCAAACACGAAAGUGGACGUAUACGGUGUGACGCCUGCCCGGUGCCGGAAGGUUAAUUGAUGGGGUCAGCGCAAGCGAAGCUCUUGAUCGAAGCCCCGGUAAACGGCGGCCGUAACUAUAACGGUCCUAAGGUAGCGAAAUUCCUUGUCGGGUAAGUUCCGACCUGCACGAAUGGCGUAAUGAUGGCCAGGCUGUCUCCACCCGAGACUCAGUGAAAUUGAACUCGCUGUGAAGAUGCAGUGUACCCGCGGCAAGACGGAAAGACCCCGUGAACCUUUACUAUAGCUUGACACUGAACAUUGAGCCUUGAUGUGUAGGAUAGGUGGGAGGCUUUGAAGUGUGGACGCCAGUCUGCAUGGAGCGCCUUGAAAUACCACCCUUUAAUGUUUGAUGUUCUAACGUGGACCCGUGAUCCGGGUUGCGGACAGUGUCUGGUGGGUAGUUUGACUGGGGCGGUCUCCUCCUAAAGAGUAACGGAGGAGCACGAAGGUUGGCUAAUCCUGGUCGGACAUCAGGAGGUUAGUGCAAUGGCAUAAGCCAGCUUGACUGCGAGCGUGACGGCGCGAGCAGGUGCGAAAGCAGGUCAUAGUGAUCCGGUGGUUCUGAAUGGAAGGGCCAUCGCUCAACGGAUAAAAGGUACUCCGGGGAUAACAGGCUGAUACCGCCCAAGAGUUCAUAUCGACGGCGGUGUUUGGCACCUCGAUGUCGGCUCAUCACAUCCUGGGGCUGAAGUAGGUCCCAAGGGUAUGGCUGUUCGCCAUUUAAAGUGGUACGCGAGCUGGGUUUAGAACGUCGUGAGACAGUUCGGUCCCUAUCUGCCGUGGGCGCUGGAGAACUGAGGGGGGCUGCUCCUAGUACGAGAGGACCGGAGUGGACGCAUCACUGGUGUUCGGGUUGUCAUGCCAAUGGCACUGCCCGGUAGCUAAAUGCGGAAGAGAUAAGUGCUGAAAGCAUCUAAGCACGAAACUUGCCCCGAGAUGAGUUCUCCCUGACCCUUUAAGGGUCCUGAAGGAACGUUGAAGACGACGACGUUGAUAGGCCGGGUGUGUAAGCGCAGCGAUGCGUUGAGCUAACCGGUACUAAUGAACCGUGAGGCUUAACCUU